This 2771-nucleotide unclassified non-coding RNA is filed under the name Apis dorsata (giant honeybee). Its description in RNAcentral is "egl nine homolog 1, transcript variant X1". Lineage: Eukaryota; Metazoa; Arthropoda; Insecta; Hymenoptera; Apidae. The record is from RNAcentral.
CAGAGUCUCAAUAGCACGCUAGUACCAUACGCAGAUUGAGUGCGUGUGUGACUUCCCUCAUUGGAGAAAUGUCGUCGGCACUCGUGGCUGCUAAAUAAACGACGAAACAUGUCCGGACCGAUAGUCAGUCGUGCGCAGACACCCGGCGGUGAUGUUCAAAUAGGUAUAACGGUGGGUUGUGUUGUCUGUAAUAGGACUGACAAGUUGUUAAGAUGUUCACGGUGCAAGGCCGUCUUUUAUUGUACUAAAGAACACCAGAAACGGGACUGGAAACGUCAUAAAGAAUUUUGUGCGAUUCAUUCUAUGGAAUCGAUCGUAUCAGAUACAGUUUCGGCUACUAGUCAAAAUUCCAUUCUAAAAUCUAAUAAGAAGGAAUCAUCUUUAAAGAACUGCCAGAUUUCAACUGCACCAGUGGUUUCUAACCUAAGCGAGAAAUCAGUGUUAGGAAGAACGCGAGGAUCAAACACUGUUCCAGAUGUACAUAAUAACGUGAAACAUCUUGAAGGAAUCAACAAACAGACAGAAAAAAUAAAAGGACAAUUAGAUCAUAAGGAAAGCCAAAAUUCCAAAAGAAAAUCUAAUAACAUUAAAACAAAAGGUACUCGUACUAAUAGAGUAGAUGGAUGGACUUCUCCAAUAACAUAUGAAGGAAGUUCUGAAGAUACAAUCUUAGGUGCCAGAACAGAAUCAUUGAAUCCUGCUUUACAAGAUUCAAGAAUUCUUGAUAAUUUACAAGACAAUGAAUUAGAUAUGCCUACUCAACAUCAUAACGGUAUGAAGAACUUUCCAGAGGUUCAUUUAACUCGUGAAGAAGAACUUCUACCACCUUUUCUCCAUAAAAAUAAAAAUAAUCUUGAAAAAUUAAUAGACGAUAUAAGCAGAAAUGUGAUUAGAGACAUGGAUGAAUAUGGUAUGUGUGUGGUAGAUAAUUUUCUAGGAACGGAAAAAGGUGGUGCAGUGUUAAAAGAAGUUUUAAAUAUGUACAGUGCUGGGUUAUUUAAGGAUGGACAAUUGGUUUCUAAUAAAGCAGGUGCAAAUGACUUAAAGACAAUUCGUGGUGAUCAAAUAACGUGGCUUGAUGGUAAAGAAAAACAAUGUCAAAAUAUUGGGAUGCUCAUAUCUCAAGUUGAUGCAGUUAUUAUGAGGGCAAAUAAAAUGUGUAAUAAUGGAAAAAUGGGAAAGUACACAAUCAAUGGAAGAACAAAGGCGGUCAAAAGAGAGAGAGAAGUGAUGGUAGGCAGAGAAGGUCAGGAUCCCGAAAUUGCAACGAUCUUUCGGCUCAGGCGCCAAACUAAGAACCAAAACGAGAGUGGUAACCCACGAAGUGCAGUCGGUCACGUACGCCGUAUAGCUGGCGCGCUGUUAGUUAUCUUUUUUUCCUUGUCUUUCACUGACUCUCCCUUUCGUCUCUUAUACCAGAAAGUAGGCAGCAUGCGAUGGUGGCUUGUUAUCCUGGUCACGGUUCGCAUUACGUGAAACACGUGGAUAAUCCUAAUCGAGAUGGACGAUGCAUCACAGCUAUAUAUUAUCUUAAUCAAAAUUGGGAUAUCAAGAAAAACGGUGGUCUCUUGAGGAUAUUUCCAGAAGGCUGGCGUGAUCAAGUAGCAGAUAUUGAACCUCUUUUUGAUAGAAUACUGUUCUUUUGGUCAGACAGAAGAAAUCCGCAUGAGGUUCAACCAGCAUAUAAAACAAGAUAUGCAAUCACUCUAUGGUAUUUUGAUGCAGAAGAAAGAAAUCAAGCUUGUCGAAGAUAUCAAAAAGAAAAAGAAUUACAUGUGAAGAAUGAAAGUUCGUGAGACAUGGAGUCUGAAGGACCAUUACACCGUCCGUCGACUGAAAUUGUAACUCUAUUAGUUAAAGUAAUACACUUGUACAUAGUUAUACGAAGAAAGCACUGGUAUAUAAACUAUUAUGUAUUAUUCUGUAUUAUGAUAUAGUUGAGAUUGUAGGAGGUACGGACAUCGGAGUAUAUAAAAAUUUAAGGAUGUGCAAUAAAUAUAUAAGCGCGUUCUUUUUUUAUAUGAUGGCAUUGUAAUAUAUUUCGAUGAGUAAAUGCGCGUAGUCUUUAAAGUUCAUUAUUAUACAUAUUAAUCAUUAAUCUCUGUUUUUUCUAACACUCUAAUGCUCACACUGUAAUCGAACGUUUGUAAAAGUUUAGCAUUCGCUUGCCAUGAUUGUAAGUUUGUUCGUUAUAUCAAUAUGAUACUUAGCUUCAAUAUUUGAAGCAUUAAAAUUUUUUGCAGCAUUCGUAAUUCGUAUACGACUGCUAAAGUUAUAUAGUGUACAGAAAGGACGAAAGAGCAUAAAAUGUAUGUGUAGGAUGAGAGUGAAAGUUUGUAUGCUAAAGAAAGAGAUUGAUUUAAAUAAUGAAAUUAAUGUUUCUAUCUUAAAAUUUGCUAAACAAAAAUUCUGUCUUAUUAUUAAUUACAUAUGUUCCCUUUAACUUCUGUAUAGCUGAUAUUGUUAAUAACAAUUCAGCUUGUUAUUAAUAUGAAAUUGUAAUAUUUGUGAAUCGUACUAUUACGUUUUAUUAUUGCAUCUCAUAUAUUACGCGUUGUUCUAUAAAGUUAUAAUCCUUAUAUUGAUGUUUGAUUAAACGGCCAGUAAUUGACUUAUGCUUCCAGCGCAGUGAAUUGAGAUAUGCCGGGGCCCAGUCUGUACCUGUAAUAUUGUUAUGUACAUUGCGAAGAGGUAGAAACACGUGUUUAAUAUUGUAUGUAUCUAUUUAUAUAAAUCGAUAAGAAAAAAAAAAAAACACGAAAAAAAUGAAA